CCUACGGGUGGCAGCAGUGGGGAAUAUUGCGCAAUGGGCGAAAGCCUGACGCAGCGACGCCGCGUGAGGGAUGGAGGUCUUCGGAUCGUAAACCUCUGUCAGCAGGGAAGAACGGUCACUGUGCUAAUCAGCAGUGAAUUGACGGUACCUGCAUAGGAAGCAACGGCUAACUCCGUGCCAGCAGCCGCGGUAAUACGGAGGGUGCGAGCGUUAAUCGGAUUUAGUGGGCGUAAGGCGCUCGUAGGCGGUAUGUCAGGGCAAGGGUGAAAUCCCCGCGCUCACCGUGGGAACUGCCUUUGAAACUGGCAAACUGGAGUGUGUGAGAGGAUAGUGGAAUUUCAGGUGUAGCAGUGAAAUCCGUAGAUAUCUGGAGGAACAUCAGUUGCGAAGGCGACUAUCUGGCACAUAACUGACGCUGAGGAGCGAAAGCGUGGGUAGCAAACAGGAUUAGAUACCCUUGUAGUC
RNAcentral lists this ribosomal RNA (465 nucleotides) under uncultured bacterium. RNAcentral describes it as "partial 16S ribosomal RNA". It matches the Rfam family "Bacterial small subunit ribosomal RNA", at positions 338 to 795 of the family's 1533-position model. The record is from RNAcentral.